CGGCCGCGGGAUUCGAUUAGAGUUUGAUUCUGGCUCAGAUUGAACGCUGGCGGCAUGCUUUACACAUGCAAGUCGAACGGCAGCACGGGGGCAACCCUGGUGGCGAGUGGCGAACGGGUGAGUAAUAUAUCGGAACGUACCCGGAAAUGGGGGAUAACGUAGCGAAAGUUACGCUAAUACCGCAUAUGCCCUGAGGGGGAAAGUGGGGGAUCGCAAGACCUCACGUUUUCGGAGCGGCCGAUAUCAGAUUAGCUAGUAGGUGAGGUAAAGGCUCACCUAGGCGACGAUCUGUAGCUGGUCUGAGAGGACGACCAGCCACACUGGAACUGAGACACGGUCCAGACUCCUACGGGAGGCAGCAGUGGGGAAUUUUGGACAAUGGGCGCAAGCCUGAUCCAGCCAUGCCGCGUGAGUGAAGAAGGCCUUCGGGUUGUAAAGCUCUUUCAGCCGGAAAGAAAACGCACGGGAUAAUACCUUGUGCGGAUGACGGUACCGGAAGAAGAAGCACCGGCUAACUACGUGCCAGCAGCCGCGGUAAUACGUAGGGUGCGAGCGUUAAUCGGAAUUACUGGGCGUAAAGCGUGCGCAGGCGGUUUUGUAAGACAGAUGUGAAAUCCCCGGGCUUAACCUGGGAACUGCAUUUGUGACUGCAAGACUAGAGUACGGCAGAGGGGGGUAGAAUUCCACGUGUAGCAGUGAAAUGCGUAGAUAUGUGGNNNAAUACCGAUGGCG
RNAcentral lists this ribosomal RNA (732 nucleotides) under uncultured bacterium. RNAcentral's name for it is "bacterial SSU rRNA". It matches the Rfam family "Bacterial small subunit ribosomal RNA", at positions 1 to 717 of the family's 1533-position model. The record is from RNAcentral.